AGGACGAACGCUGGCGGCGUGCUUAACACAUGCAAGUCGAGCGGAAAGGCCCUUCGGGGUACUCGAGCGGCGAACGGGUGAGUAACACGUGGGCAACCUGCCCUUAGCUCUGGGAUAGCUCCGGGAAACCGGAAUUAAUACCGGAUAUGACUAUGGCUGACAUCAGCCACGGUGGAAAGUUUUUCGGCUAGGGAUGAGCUCGCGGCCUAUCAGCUAGUUGGUGGGGUAACGCCUACCAAGGCGACGACGGGUA
Molecule: ribosomal RNA, 253 nt
Filed under: uncultured bacterium
Lineage: Bacteria
Description: partial small subunit ribosomal RNA
Rfam family: Bacterial small subunit ribosomal RNA
Source: RNAcentral